GGGGAUGUUUAGUUCAGUUACUAGAAAAAAGUUCUUCACCCAGAGGGUGGCUGGGCACUGGAACGGGCUCCCCAGGGAAGUGGUCACAGCACCAAACCUGACAGAGUUCAAGAAGCAUUUGGACAACACUCAGGGCACACAGGGCAUUUGGACACAUGAUGGGACUCUUGGAGAUGGUUCUGUGCAGGGCCAGGAGUUGGACUUAGAUGAUCCUUGAGAGUCCCUUCCAGCUCAGCAUAUUCUGUGAUUCUGUACAGCUUCAGGUUUUGGUUAAUACAAUUACACAGCCACCAUGCAUCUCAUACCACCCAAAGGCUCAGCAAAAGAGCAGAAAGGCAUGAGACUUCUGUACCCCUCAGACUGAGGGAAGAGGGCAGUGGAAUCUGGGGACCAACAGCAUGUGUGGAGUCAAAAGGGGGUGAAUGCAUUUCUCCCUUCUCUCCCAAAUUUCUCCAGUUAUUCCUAAGAACUGGUAAAGUUGUGAAGUUAGGCCUGCUAUUGCUCUCUGCUUCCUGACAUAAGGGCUGGGUACAGAGAGUGAGCUGAGAAGGGAUUUAGAUUAAGCCAAAUUCAGCACUGCAGCCUGUGUUUGAGCUAAGGGAUGCUUGAUAACCCAGUGUAGCAUCGCUGAACCAGCUGCAGCAGCUUGACACAUACCUAGCUAGGGGAGCUCUUCCAUGCCCAAGACAAGCAGAGACAUUUUAUUUCUGGUUCUGAUUUAUUUAAAAAUUAAAAUAUAACAAAUAUACUACACUGUAAUUGUCAGAGUAGAGAUUGUCUUUGUCUUUCCAAGAAUGUGAAAUCUGAGUAUUGAAAUGGCAAAAAACAAAAAACAAAAAACCAAAAAAAAAAAGGAAGCAAGGAGGUUUGGAGUUUUUAAAUUUAAAACAUGGUUAUGUCAUCAGUGAUCUUGUGAGCUCCUCUAACUUCCUCUAAGAAAGAAGCUAAUGUCAUCAUUGAAGAUGAUAGAAAAUGCUAGUAGGAAAUGUAAUAAGAAAAUGCAGGAGGUGGAAGAAAAAACAAAGUAAGCUUAUGUAUUUGUUGAGGUUCAAGAAAAAGCUCAGAAGGAAGUCUGUUAGUAUUUACAACCAUGUAAAUUCAGUUAAAUCAGCAACAAUGAAAGAAAAAUAAUCUAUUCUUGUAAUCCAGCUCAAUGCUAAUGUAAAUUCAGUUAAAUCAGCAACAAUGAAAGAAAAAUAAUCUAUUCUUGUAAUCCAGCUCAAUGCUAAUGUAACUUUAGUUUUUCUAAAUUCCACCAAGGAUGACUCUAAUCUGAAGACUUUAAACCUGUCCCCUGUAGAGUGGGCUCUGUUGUCCCAUUAGCAGAAGGGCAGUUCUCUCACAGCAUAGGAACACUUACACUACACCAAUAGCCAGCACCUCCAUCACACUGCCUGGCAAUUAACAGUAGCUGCCACAGUAAAAUUAUUCCUCUGGUAAUGUGUUUGGGGUCUCACAGUUUUGAGUACUAGAACUACCUCUAUACUAAAAUGUGUGGGAAAUAAUAGUUUUUAAUGCAGAAACUGUGAAUCUUUUUCUGCUUUCUCUCAUUGUCACAGGCUUACAAUUACUGAAUUGGAGAUGCUGAUUAACAGCAAGCUUUCGACAUUCAACAAGUUAAGCCAUUGUGUUGGCAUAAUUAGGCAACUAAUUCUUUCACAGUUCACUCAAGCAAAGAAAUUAACUAGAAAAUUUAAGACCUAUUUUUAACGGGGGAUUUUUUUCCCCCACAGAGUAAUCCCUCUGACAGAUAUUGUAACAAAGUACUUGCAAUUCUCCUGCACUUCCUAAGGCAACACUUUCAUGCACAGAAUAUAAUUUUUGGACCAAGCAUCUAUCUGCCUUUUUAUUCACUUCAGUCAUAUGUGCAAAUCCGUACUGACAUAUGCAAAUGUAAAUGCUGAGUGCUCAAUCACUGCACCUACUUUAUAAGUAUGUCCCAUCAAGUUUUCUAAAGAUAAUUUGGCAAAUUCAGAAUUUCUGAAUAAUUUCUGCAAAUUAUUCCCAGAAGACAUUACUGUGACUAUAUGGAAGAAAGACAAAUGCCAGAAUGUAUAAUUCACUUGAAAAUUAAUCUUGUAUAUGCUUGUGCCAGAUUAUUUAACUUUCAUGAGGAAAAUGUUAGGAGGCAAAAAGAUACUGAUUCUGGGAAAUUGCUGAGUCUCUGGAACCUCUGGGAACCAGUUUAACUCCCUGUCAUUACUAGUUAUUAAUGAGGAAGCCUUCUCUGGGCUUGUUAUGCUGUUAAUUGGGGGUGUCCAACCGGAACGGUAGUUAGCAGUCCACAAUUUAUUUUUUUCAGUUGUCUAAUGAGUGCAGCAGAUUUGAAAAUUGAUGUUAGACUCUUGCUUUGGGCCUUCACUACAAGCUUUACAAAAUUUGUCCAAAGCAACCAUAGCACAACUACGCACCUGCAGCACACCAUUUAUUUAGUGAGGCAUCCCUAUGCCUGUAUGCUUUAAACACUAGAUGAAAACCAUUUUGGUUUUACUGUACACUUCUGUAAAAGAAGAACUUGUACACUACUUUCUGGAAAGAGAAGUUUUCUCUGGACAAUUUUUGGUAUGCAGAUGUUAAUUGUCAGACUUUGUUCCUUUAGCUACAUAGACAAUUUCAGGUUUUUUAUGACUGUGAAAAUUGCCUCACAAAAUUUACUAAAGCUUUAGCACAGAAACCAUCUGCUCUUCAAUAGCUUGACUCCUAUUAUACCUAUUAGAAAAAGGAAGAGAAAACCCACAAACCUAGCUCAUAAAACAAGUGGGUGAACAGGAAAAGAAACACCAGAGUAAAAGGUCAUUACAGGAUAUAGAGGUUGAUUUUCUAAGGAGAAAUAAUUGUUGUUCUAGCUGAACAACAAUAAAAAAGUUACAUGCAAUUGUUGAGCUGCUGCAAAAAUUUAUUUCAACCCUGCAGCUCAAAGAGAAGAUAUUCAAAUACAUCCUGAAAACUUCAAGCUGAUAUCAGCACAGUUACUGCAAUACUCCUCAGGUUCUCUCAGAAGAAUUGGGCUGACAACAGGAAUGUUCUGGGAAAGCCUGAUCUUCUGUCCAGGCAAAUUUCACACAUUAUUUAUUGGCUGCUGGACUUUGCUGUAUGCAGAAGAGCAUGUAGGCAUUGCUGGUGGUCAAAUCAGGCUGCUCCAGCUUCCUGGCCAUGAGGAAUGGCCAAGGCUGGAGCAUGUAUUUGAACUCCCUAUACCUCUGUUCUGCUUAUAGGAAAAUUUAUAAAUUUAUUCUAGUUUAUUUCACUGUAUUUCUUGUCGGUGGUGGUUUUAUCUUUGUCCUUCCUUCACUGUCUUCAGUCCUCUUCCCUAUGGGGUUUUUUAUGUUUAUCCUCUUGCUGGAUGGUCCUGUCACUCAGCCUCCAAGGAAAAGUAUUGAUCCAUUUGAAGCUGAAGCAGAGGACUGUUCUUUUAUUUUUUUUUUUUUUUUGGCACUGUGGUGAAAUGCCCCUACUUUACAUCUUGUUUUGAGAAAUAGUCAUACUUUGUGGUUUUACUGGGUGGAGAUUUUUAUUACUGAUUUCUCCUCCAACCUACCAUUGGGAAAUACCCCUGAAAACACUGCAAGAUUACCGGCACAGCAGGAAGAAAGUUUUACUAAAUUUUCUAAUACUUUAAGUAUUUGAAAUUGUUGUCACAGGUGCCUCCAUCUGAAUUCUGAGGAAGGUUUCACCCAAGUUCAUGGUCUAUGGAAUGACUUGAAAUAGAGGCAUUUCUUACCAGUGGAAUGACCUUGUUUCUUGAAUGACUCAGCCACUGCAGACUUUCAUCUGCGGAACACUGAGGACCUUCCUUGAGGCUCUGGUUUAAGUAAUUGCCUGAGGCACACCUCCUAAAAACACAGACUUGGUCAGAAGUACAUGGCCUUCAUACAGAUGUCCUGGACCCUGGCAUCAGUGACUUACUGAUAGUUAUUUUGGAUAUCAGUCACUUUAGCCAUGCCUGGUACUUAGAAAAACUCUUAAAAGUCAGUUCCUUAAUUCUUGAUCCAUUUUGUUUGUUGCUUUUAUAAAACUGGGUUUGUUUUUUUUUUCCUUUUCAGUAUGAACUGCCUUUAUUCAAUAGUAUCUUGGACUUUGAUGUACUGCACCUUCACUGUACCAUCAAAAGGGUUUUGUAGGGAAGUCUAAAUCACCACUUUUCACAGUUGUUUGGCUUUACUGACUUGAAGGGUUUUCUCAGUGCCAUCCCUCUUCUUCUGGGGAAUACUGGCAGUUAUUCUGCAAGGAAGCCAAAUAGAUCCGUUUGCUUAAAUGUUUUGUCUGGGAUCUAAGAUGCUCUGUGUCUAUUUACUUCAUUAACUUACCUUUAUCCUGUAGGAGUCCUAAAAAAUUGAGUUUCUCUUUAAAGGGCUCCUGCAAAAACAAUUAAAGUAAUUAAAAUUAUCUCUGUUUGUGUUUAGAGACCUGUUUUCCUUCCCUCCAUGGCCCAAAUAAGAGCUUCCUGUGAUCCGAGUUCCAGCCAGACAUGUUGUAGGAUGGAGUUUUACUCCCUCAACCACAAUUCCUUCUGUCCAACAACAUGCUGUAGUAAAAAGCAUUCAAUGUCUUUUCUGAUUUAAUUAGUGAUGCCUCCAAAUGUUUCCUGAUGAAAGUAAAACUGGUGACAACACCAAAGUUGUGGCUUUGCUGAAUGCUGUCUCAAUUUCUUCUGCCACUGAAUGGGAAGACUGUCAAAAAAUCAAAAAUAAUUUGAUGUGUUUAGUAAUUAUAGUGACAAAUCUUAAAUUUUCAAAGGAUGAAUAUUUGUCAGUCAUCAGUACCCUCAGCAGUCAGUAGGUAAAUAUCUUCUCAGAUGCAAAAAUACAUAGGCUUUCACUGUAAUCCAAACCACCUUGAACAGUAUUUAUAGGAAAUGAAAAGCAGAAAAGUAUUGUAAAAUUAAAAAUAUGUUUAUCUAUUUCAGUUUGGAAAAGAAAAAAAAAAAAAAAACGGUCCAAAUGAAAGUGCACAUGGCUAAUAUUUCAAUCCCAAGUAAUUUCCAAACAAACGGAACUGGGGUUUUUCUAUUAUCAUUUUAUGAUGCAUAAUUUUGAAGUCCAGGAAUCAAAAAGGACUCAUUUUCUCCGUUUUGCUUUGAACAAUAUAAGUUUUAUAACAAACUAAACCAAAUUACUUAAAACCAGAAAGGGUAUUUCCUGUCUGUACCUCACAGUUCUCCUGCUUGUAUUAACUCUGUCUGCUCUUUUCCCUUUCUGUGUCAGCCUGCAUCAGUCCAGAAGGAACAUCUUUGGAAGGAUGUGCUUCUGCAUCCGAAGUCUGGAUGUGGCUGCAAGAAUCAUAAGCUUAAUAACAGGAAACGGCUAAAGUUUCAUUUUGAUAGAGUGGUCAUACAGCAUUCAACUCUAAAAAUCACUUGCAGGUGGGGGCCUCGCUGCAGCUCUGGCUGGAGUGCUGCUGAUAUACUCUGAGCUUCUGCAGUCUUUGAACUUCUGGUGGCCAACCCUGUUGCCUUUCCAGCCAUCCUGGACAAACUUAAAAUGGUUAGUUGGACAUUCUCAGACCAAUUGCAGGAGCAAAGCUGAUCAGCCUAUUCACAGCACAUUUGACAUGUUUGAAGGAUGCUUAGACUUUGGGACUAAUCUUUUUGGCUCCUUCUUUUUGGCUGCUGAUGUUGGCUGGGCUGUGUAUAGACAUAGGCCUCUUACAUCUGGCAUGUGCAAAGCUGUCAGUGCCCUUGUUGCAACAAAAAAAGGAUGUACUUAAAAUCAGAUGACUACACAUGCUCACAGUAGCAUAGGAAGUUGGCGUAACCUUACUGUUCAAAACUGGGUCAUUUAUCACCUGACUAAUUUCUGAAAUCUCUGUAGAGGAAAACUACAUGGAACCUUACCAAAAGGAAACAAUAUCACAGGCAGAGAUAUUUACCAGGGGUAGAAAGCUGCCUUAAUCUCUGCUGCCAGCACAGGUAAAGGAAUUUGCAAUUUUCUUGCAAUUAUCUCAAAUGAAAAAUGAAGGAUUCUUCCAAUUAUUUCAACUUGUUUUCAUAGAAUCACAGAAUAUACUGAGAUGGACGGGACCCACAAGGACCAUCAAGUCCAACUCCUGGCCCUGCAAAGAACCAUCCCUAACAGUCAAACCAUAUGCCUGAGAGUGUUGUCCAAACACUUAUUUGGACUCUAUCAGGCUGGUGCUGUGACCACUGCCCUGGGGACUUGUCCCAGUGCUCAACCACCCUCCAGGUGAAGAAACUUUUUCUAAUAUCCAGCCUAAAGCUCCCUUAACACAAUUUCAGGCCAUUCCCUUGGGUUUUGUCACUGGGCACUUCUAUUAAAGUCAUAUUAAAUUACCAGGUUUCCAACAAGUUAGCCUAUUAUAUAGAAAUUACAUCACUUGCUCUAUGUUCAUUAGAAAUUUGCAGCUCAAGGACAAGCUAAAUUAAUUUCUUGUACUUAAUUUUUUCUGGAAUGUCACCCAUUCACUGUUUUAUCUAUGUCUGCAUAUCAGUGCAGCUGACAAAACCAAGCAACCAUACCACUACACAAGUCAUAACAUUUCCGCAAAUAGAACUAGAAUAACAACACACUUCCAGAAUUAUCUGUCAUGGGUGGAAACUUAAGGCAGUGCCAUUAAUAAUGAAAGGAAAAAAUCAAGACAGUUCUAGAAGAGCAAUAUAUUUUUAGUUAGAAAGGGGACAAUGAAAGAUGAAAGCAUCUACUCUUUUUCUGGUUUUGGAAAAGAAUAAAGCAUUGUAUGGUAAAACUGUCUAGGGGAGUUAAAUGGGUGGGGAAGAUGGAGAAAUCAGAAUCAGUAUGGCUGUGACAAGCUUCACAAACUGAAACACUUGCUACCAUUUGUGGAGGUCAAGCUUUCUUUCCACAAAGGAUUAAAAGAAUGGUUCCCCAACCUAAUUUACAAACAGGUAAGAAAACCUGUGACCAGGGCAACUCCAUUUUUAUUUUUGCAAUAUGUUUUUCAACAAUAUUAGUGAGGGAAAAUGUACUAUUAUCAAAUUAAAAAAUCAGAGUAAAGCAUCAUCAUUUUAGCAAAGAAGUGAAGAUCCAGUUUCACUAAGCUGACAGUUGAAGUGUAACUAUUCAGUAACAGUAGAGAUCAUAGAAUAUCUUGAGUUGGAAGGCACCAUAAGAAUCAUCAAAAUCCUACUGUCCAGCAUAUGACAGCCCCAGGAAGCACAUCAUGUAUCUGAGGGCAUUGUCCAAAUGCUUCUUGAACUCUGGCAGAUAUUUCAAUACUCUAACAAUUUGCUGUUCAGGGGGAGAUAGUGAUAGCUGGGAUACAACAGGAUUUCUAUGUCCUGUGACUGGGUCUUCCAUGAGAGCAAACACAAGGUAUUACAGCUACACCUACUGCCCUGAUGGGAUGGAUCACAUAAACCUUAGCUGAACCUUAUGCCAAAUCUUUAUCAGUCUUGCACAAAAAUGUUUUGGAUUUACAAUUAAUGAUACUCUAAACUAAGGCCCUGAAAUGUCUAUUUAAACAUACAUCCAAUUAACAAGAAGUGUAAACCAUUAUAAAAUACAGACUUAACAUCAGCCUCAGCAUUUUUUAAAAUCUGUCCUAAAUUAAAAUUCAGUUUUAAAUUUUAAAUUUUAAAUUCAGUUGCAAAACUCCAUCAGAUGAAGAAUUGAGUUUAAGUCUUUGAGUGCACUUCAAAGACACUGCGGUAGAAAGUUAUCAGAUGUCCUCCUUCCUGUUACAGAUAAAGAUCAAUUGCUUUUCACAGGCAAUUUUGUAUGCGUUCUCGUGUAAACGAUGAGCUAUAGCCUCCUCUAAUAUUCAGUCAUCUCAACUGACUUUUGCAUGACCAUAGAAACAUAGCUCAGCACAUCAGUCUCAUAUAUCCUAAAGAUGGUGUUAAAGUGAAGCCACAACGUGUUCUGUAACCCUCCCCCAGCUAAUUAUUAAAUGACUAUUUCUAUAGAUUCACUACGCCCCCAAACCUUAAAAUCUUAAGUACUUCUUCAAAUGCAGUGUUUUAAAUAUACUGUCCAUCUGUUCUGUGGAAUUCACCCAAAGCUUUGUUGGUAACAGAGGUGUUAACAGUGAAGCAUGAAGCAUGGACUCCUGUAGUUGGCUUGUUGAACAAUCCCUUGCAGCCUGAUGUGUUUCACCUCCUGCAUUCCUUCACCUGCCUUAGAAUGCUGCUUAGCAAAUUGGCUCAUUAGUUAGGAUUGAAAAACAGAGGAGAGGUUGUCUGCUCUGAGCAGUUUCUCUAAAGGACACACAAUUCACCGAAUGGUUUGCAUUGUAAUUCCUCCUCCAACAUGUGACUAGACACAGGUGACAUUGUAAUAUGACAUGACAAAAAGGGACACAUCUCCCAAAUAUAAUCUAAUCCCAUGAGAAAGGAAGAUUUUACUUUAAAUACUUCUAAUUCCCAGCAGUGUGACGUGGAAGGAUAGUUGGGUGAGAAGAGACAGUUGCCACAUGAAAAUAAAGGAAUAACAAAGUAAA
Molecule: non-coding RNA, 8415 nt
Organism: Taeniopygia guttata (zebra finch)
Lineage: Eukaryota; Metazoa; Chordata; Aves; Passeriformes; Estrildidae
Source: RefSeq, a predicted model, not a curated record